UUCCGUUUGAAAGGGUCACGGGGUCUCCUGUCUUAAGAAAAUUUCCUGUGAAAUUGAAUUUGUAGUGAAGAUGCUACAUCCAAAUUGUUAGACAAGAAGUCCCCAUGGAACUUUACUGGAGACUUAUGAGGCUUAAAUUAAUUUAUUUCUUACAAAUAAAUAGUUUUAAAAUGUGGUGUUAACCUCUCGGGGAACCGGGGGUUAGAAAAGCUCACUCUUUUAUUUAAAGAAAGCCAACUCAAACAAUUAUGUCUUUGGGAUUUGAUAAGUGGGACAGUUUGGUUGGGGCGACCGCCUUUAAAAAAGUAACGAAGGCGGGCUUAAGAUACAUAUUUAGUGAUGUCUGACUGCCAAGGGGAGAUCCUGAGCAGACACUUACUUUUUAGGUGGGUUUAAGUGACCCGUUAAUUUAGGGGAAGAUAGUUAACGAUAAACA
RNAcentral lists this ribosomal RNA (436 nucleotides) under Fungiacyathus turbinolioides. RNAcentral describes it as "partial 16S ribosomal RNA". It matches the Rfam family "Bacterial large subunit ribosomal RNA", at positions 1986 to 2454 of the family's 2925-position model. Lineage: Eukaryota; Metazoa; Cnidaria; Anthozoa; Scleractinia; Fungiacyathidae. The record is from RNAcentral.